Mercenaria mercenaria is the source of this 1024-nucleotide long non-coding RNA. RefSeq lists it as uncharacterized. Lineage: Eukaryota; Metazoa; Mollusca; Bivalvia; Venerida; Veneridae. The record is from RefSeq and is a predicted model, not a curated record. The transcript is spliced from 2 exons.
AUUAUUGUGUGUUUAUGACUCAUCCAUUCGUGUAAAUCACUUAUUCCCUUAUUAUUGCAUGUAAAUUAUUUAUUAUUGUGUGUAAGUGACUUAUUCUUUAAUGUAACUGGGAAAGUGAGUCUGUUGUAUUUCUUGUUUACUUGUUAUUCUUAACAUGUUUGUGUGUUCUAAUUCUUGUUGCAUUUUCUUAAGUGCAUUGGCUUAGUUGAUAAUGAAACAUUUCAGAUUCAUGGAUGAUAUUCGCUGGCAAAAUUACAUCGGUCUAAAACGAAAGAUAUCGCGUAGCAGGUUAUCGAAUGGAAGAUAGCAACAAGCAUCAAGGAUAACGGCGAAAGCAUAAUAUAAAGUCACGUUCUGACGCAAGGUGGCGCUGCUCUCAUGAAUAUUCGACAAUUUCCGUGAAAGCAACCGUAAAGAAAGUUUGUUUGUUAUGUCCCUUACUAGAAUAUUCGCCAUUUGUAGCGCAUUCAGCCAUCUAUUCUACUGGGAUGGAAUACACUCAGUUUGAAGUGAGGCCAUCUCCACACCUUGGUUGAGCAUUAAUGGUAGCCAGCCGAAUGUAACUUUAAACAUAGGACACGUGCUUCAGACCUUAAUUAGAUGCCCAAUGUUGUCCAAGAACAUUGCUACUGGAAUUAUGGAAUUUAAUCAUAAAUCACAAAUGCUUUCUUAUGGGAAUACUUGCACCAUCAAUUUGCUUCUGCAAAACUAAUGAUCUUGUGAACUAGGAAAAGCUGAAAAAUCACAUGGUCGGUAUAACUGCAGAAGCUGAAGGCUUUGGCCUAGUGUAGUAAAACAGGCAUUUUCGAAAGGACUGUACGAGGUCAUGAAUAAUUCCUCGAUCUGUUCAAUCUUGACCACAUUAGACCACUAGACUGUCAUGAUGUGUAUUUUCCAUUAAAAAAGAAAUAGUGGAUGUGAACUCUAAAGCUGCUCAGUGCUGUGAGUCUACACUGGAUAACAAACUUUCUUGUUUUUUCUGCGAGUGUAAAAAGAAUGGAAAUAAAAAGAUAUUUGAAAAUAA